UGACCUCGGAUUAUGUAGGAUACCCGCUGACUAGCAUCUAAACCGCGGGGAAGAGAGAAAAAA
RNAcentral lists this ribosomal RNA (63 nucleotides) under Xylariaceae sp. 5250. Its description in RNAcentral is "partial 28S ribosomal RNA". Lineage: Eukaryota; Fungi; Ascomycota; Sordariomycetes; Xylariales; Xylariaceae. The record is from RNAcentral.